CGUGUGAGAUUUGAGACUGACGAUGCGCUUGACGCGUUGAGCAACCUCACCCCUCUGCUCCGAGUGAGGAGUAGCACAAGCUAUUAUGGUGAGAACUAUACUUUAGCAAUUGAAACGACACUGCCUUCUUACGCACAUUAAUGAUUUGGAUAUAAGCCAGAGAAAUUGUAGGAAGGAAUGGUUGGGACGAGCUAAAACCUCAGAGCAAGGCCAAAUGAAAGCGAUGAGCUGCUCGGAGACGAGCUUUAGGUAGGCCGCAUAGUUUGAUGUCUCAAGUAUUUCUGGUGACAGAAAUUACUGCAGAAGGGUGGGUAUAGAUCUCAACCG
This 327-nucleotide RNase P RNA is filed under the name Promethearchaeota archaeon. Its description in RNAcentral is "Candidatus Lokiarchaeota archaeon RNase P RNA component". It matches the Rfam family "Archaeal RNase P". From Rfam's summary of the family: Ribonuclease P (RNase P) is a ubiquitous endoribonuclease, found in archaea, bacteria and eukarya as well as chloroplasts and mitochondria. Its best characterised activity is the generation of mature 5'-ends of tRNAs by cleaving the 5'-leader elements of precursor-tRNAs. Lineage: Archaea; Promethearchaeati; Promethearchaeota. The record is from RNAcentral.